This 481-nucleotide ribosomal RNA is filed under the name uncultured bacterium. RNAcentral describes it as "bacterial SSU rRNA". It matches the Rfam family "Bacterial small subunit ribosomal RNA", at positions 903 to 1397 of the family's 1533-position model. The record is from RNAcentral.
AAAUGAAUAGACGGGGACCCGCACAAGCGGUGGAUCAUGUUCUUUAAUUCGAUGCUAAACGAUAAACCUUACCAGGGCUUGACAUCUAGGGAAGGACUACGAAAGUAGUUUGUGCCUUUUUGGAACCCUAAGACAGGUGAUGCAUGGCCGUCGUCAGCUCGUGUCGUGAGAUGUUAGGUUAAGUCCUUCAACGAGCGCAACCCUUGUGAUUAGUUGUAAUUUUCUAAUCAGACUGCUUCGGUAACGGAGAGGAAGGAGGGGAUGAUGUCAGGUCAGUAUUUCCCUUACGUCCUGGGCUAGAAACGUGAUACAAUGGCAAGCAACAAUGCGUGGCGAAGUCGUGAGAUGAAGCUAACCGCACAAAACUUGUCCCAGUCCGGAUUGGAGGCUGAAACUCGCCUCCAUGAAGUCGGAAUCGCUAGUAAUCGCAGAUCAGCAUGUUGCGGUGAAUACGUUCCCGGGUCUUGUACACACCGCCCGU